AAGUCGUAACAAGGUUUCCGUAGGUAGAGAUGGUUUGCCUCCGGAAGCUCAUCGCAACGACGUAAAUAAGUGCGUGGUCCACACUUCCCAGUGCGGGCAACACCGUUCAAGUGCUGAAAGCUUCGAGUGACUCGGGGUGACCAGCAGCCAGCACGUUCUCGGCUGGUUAACAGAUCAUUCGACGGUGACCAUCAUGGUUGAGAUAUGACCGGUCCCAGGCCACACGGCCCCUGGAACAGCGGAACCUGCGGAAGGAUCAUUAUCGAGAGACGGGGUCUAACCGGCCCCACCUCUUCACCCCGUGCCUAUCUACCUAUGUUGCUUUGGCGGGUCCGGGCCAGUCUGGGGGGCAUCUCGCCCCUUCGUCCCGGCCAACAGCCCCCACCAAUCCUGUCGUCAGUGUCGUCCGAGUCAAACAUAUAAUAGUUAAAA
RNAcentral lists this unclassified non-coding RNA (432 nucleotides) under plant metagenome. RNAcentral describes it as "partial contains small subunit ribosomal RNA and internal transcribed spacer 1". The record is from RNAcentral.